CCUGCUAGUUUGGCUUCCUCAACAUGGCGGCGCCCUUAUGUGUGGAGGUGGAGUUCGGAGGUGGUGCGGAGCUCCUGUUUGAUGGGGUAAAAAAGCAUCAAGUCACCUUGCCUGGGCAGGAGGAACCCUGGGAUAUCCGGAACCUCCUUGUCUGGAUCAAGACGAAUUUGCUAAAAGAGCGGCCAGAGCUAUUCAUCCAGGGAGACAGUGUGUGAGUUCCCAUCCCCAAUCACUGAGCAGGGCAGAGGGGGGAAGGCUUGUCUAAGUCCGUGUCUUGGGUCUCUGAAUGUCUCAUCCCCCUGAGUCCUCUGGCCCAUAUUUUCUUGAACUCCUCUGAAGAUAGAGCUGUGCUCAGGUCUGUUUCUAUUUGUCUACUACCACACUAGGCGUUUUAGGCUCUUAAAGACCCCUAUGAAACACACACCUUUAAUCCCAGCACUUGGGAGUCAGAGGCAGGCAGAUCUCUGAGUUUGAGGUGAACCUGGUCUAUGGAGCGAGUUUCAGGACCACCAGGACUACAUAAAGAAAUAAUGUUCGUAGUCUCAAAAAGCAAAACAGAAGCAAGAAAACCCAUAUGAAAGGAGCUUGGUAAAAUUUCCCCAAAACGUGGG
RNAcentral lists this long non-coding RNA (611 nucleotides) under Rattus norvegicus (Norway rat). Its description in RNAcentral is "long non-coding RNA NONRATT017970". Lineage: Eukaryota; Metazoa; Chordata; Mammalia; Rodentia; Muridae. The record is from RNAcentral.